This 1148-nucleotide ribosomal RNA is filed under the name Campylobacter jejuni. Its description in RNAcentral is "bacterial LSU rRNA". It matches the Rfam family "Bacterial large subunit ribosomal RNA", at positions 1744 to 2894 of the family's 2925-position model. Lineage: Bacteria; Pseudomonadati; Campylobacterota; Epsilonproteobacteria; Campylobacterales; Campylobacteraceae. The record is from RNAcentral.
GUGGUUAGCUUCGUACUAGGAUUUACUCCGAAAGCGAAGAAACUUACAACAAAGAGUCCCUCCCGACUGUUUACCAAAAACACAGCACUCUGCUAACUCGUAAGAGGAUGUAUAGGGUGUGACGCCUGCCCGGUGCUCGAAGGUUAAUUGAUGGGGUUAGCAUUAGCGAAGCUCUUGAUCGAAGCCCGAGUAAACGGCGGCCGUAACUAUAACGGUCCUAAGGUAGCGAAAUUCCUUGUCGGUUAAAUACCGACCUGCAUGAAUGGCGUAACGAGAUGGGAGCUGUCUCAAAGAGGGAUCCAGUGAAAUUGUAGUGGAGGUGAAAAUUCCUCCUACCCGCGGCAAGACGGAAAGACCCCGUGGACCUUUACUACAGCUUGACACUGCUAUUUGGAUAAGAAUGUGCAGGAUAGGUGGGAGGCUUUGAGUAUAUGACGCCAGUUGUAUAGGAGCCAUUGUUGAGAUACCACUCUUUCUUAUUUGGGUAGCUAACCAGCUUGAGUUAUCCUCAAGUGGGACAAUGUCUGGUGGGUAGUUUGACUGGGGCGGUCGCCUCCCAAAUAAUAACGGAGGCUUACAAAGGUUGGCUCAGAACGGUUGGAAAUCGUUCAUAGAGUAUAAAGGUAUAAGCCAGCUUAACUGCAAGACAUACAAGUCAAGCAGAGACGAAAGUCGGUCUUAGUGAUCCGGUGGUUCUGUGUGGAAGGGCCAUCGCUCAAAGGAUAAAAGGUACCCCGGGGAUAACAGGCUGAUCUCCCCCAAGAGCUCACAUCGACGGGGAGGUUUGGCACCUCGAUGUCGGCUCAUCGCAUCCUGGGGCUGGAGCAGGUCCCAAGGGUAUGGCUGUUCGCCAUUUAAAGCGGUACGCGAGCUGGGUUCAGAACGUCGUGAGACAGUUCGGUCCCUAUCUGCCGUGGGCGUAAGAAGAUUGAAGAGAUUUGACCCUAGUACGAGAGGACCGGGUUGAACAAACCACUGGUGUAGCUGUUGUUCUGCCAAGAGCAUCGCAGCGUAGCUAAGUUUGGAAAGGAUAAACGCUGAAAGCAUCUAAGCGUGAAGCCAACUCUAAGAUGAAUCUUCUCUAAGCUCUCUAGAAGACUACUAGUUUGAUAGGCUGGGUGUGUAAUGGAUGAAAGUCCUUUAGCUGA